UUAUACAGAAUAAAAAAAAUCACAUCAAACCAGAUGUACGACAGAACAGUGGUGAGGAAAUAUUUGAUGGAAAUAGCAAGCCCAAAGCUCUUGAAAAAAAGAAAUUGAGUAAAAUUGGUUGGCUUUUUAAAAUUGUUGAUAUUUUCCUUGACUAGUGACUCGAGUGAUUAAAGUUUGCUUAGUUUGAUAAUUUCCUUUUUAAUUUAUCAAUCUCACCCA
Papilio xuthus (Asian swallowtail) is the source of this 219-nucleotide long non-coding RNA. RefSeq lists it as uncharacterized. The transcript has 4 exons. The record is from RefSeq and is a predicted model, not a curated record. NCBI's taxonomy places the organism in Eukaryota, Metazoa, Arthropoda, Insecta, Lepidoptera, Papilionidae.